Molecule: ribosomal RNA, 433 nt
Filed under: uncultured bacterium
Lineage: Bacteria
Description: partial 16S ribosomal RNA
Rfam family: Bacterial small subunit ribosomal RNA
Source: RNAcentral
AACGAACGCUGGCGGCAUGCCUAACACAUGCAAGUCGAACGAGACCUUCGGGUCUAGUGGCGCACGGGUGCGUAACGCGUGGGAACCUGCCCUUGGGUUCGGAAUAACUCCCCGUAAGGGGUGCUAAUACCGGAUAAUGUCUUCGGACCAACGAUUUAUCGCCUUUGGAUGGGCCCGGGUUGGAUUAGCUAGUUGGUAGGGUACAAGCCUACCAAGGCGACGAUCCAUAGCUGGUCUGAGAGGAUGAUCAGCCACACUGGGACUGAGACACGGCCCAGACUCCUACGGAGCGGAGCAGUGGGUAAUAUUGUGCAAUGGGGGAAAGUCUAAUCCAGCAAUGCCGCGUGAGUGAUGAAGGCCUUAGGGUUGUAAAGCUCUUUUACCCGAGAUGAGAAUGACAGUACCGGGUGAAUAAGCUCCGGCUAACUCCGUG